RNAcentral lists this long non-coding RNA (1268 nucleotides) under Mus musculus (house mouse). RNAcentral's name for it is "lincRNA-EC100". Lineage: Eukaryota; Metazoa; Chordata; Mammalia; Rodentia; Muridae. The record is from RNAcentral.
UCAAAGGGGCCUGCCCUACUGACACCCAGAGUUCAAAGAAAGUCUCGUAUCGCAAGUGUUCAACCUUGCGCUUGCGCAUAGUGACAGCAACGCAGCCGACUGGUAUUUCUGCUACUUUGGAUUAGCCCAAGCCAGCACUGAGCGCGGAUGCAGGAGGAAUCACAGAUGGUUUUCUUCUGUCUGUCUCAGCAUUUUGCACAAGGUGUUACACACAGUGGGUGCUCUACAGUCUUAUGCCAGAGCCCCUGUAGCAAGAUCCUGAACUGAGCAAGCUUGGCUUCGUGAUUUUCGGGGGUGCUCUUGGGAAAACUGGAGGGGCUGUGGGGCAGCAGAGCAGGAAGAAAGGGAGUUGUAGAGGAUGGUUCUGACUGGUUCGUGGCGACCUUGGGAUGGAAAUUGUGUCCCUUGUUUGUCCCCACUCCAAGCAAAGGAGAAGGAACCUAGGAGACCUGCAGCCCAGCCUGGGAGAGAUGCACUUCCAAGACUGUCCACUAUGCGGCAGUAGCUGAGUAGUCUGAAGGGCAUUCCGCUGGGAAGGCAAAGGACUACCAAGAAUGGAUAGAAACACAAAGAGGCGUGCGGAGAUCGCUGCCCUCCAGAAUGUUAGCUCUACCUCUGAAUGCAGAAGCUCGGUGUGACUUCCCGCGUGCUCAGGAAAGAGGAUGGGGACGCUAAGUAAGGGGGAGCUCCUGUAACUUACACUGAAGAAUGCCGGUCAGAGCCAGGAGACCCACGAAGCAGCCAGUCUCCGCCAGGAUUUCACAAGCGCUAGAGCGACUGAGUUUGUCUUAGGAGCCCUGCUGUGUGUCUACCGUGAAGCUAAAUCUUCCCAAAAUCCACUCAUCUAACUCUCCCACGGCUCGGUGUAGAGGAGGAGACAGGGGCGUGAGUGGGGACCUGCUUUGCUUAAGGGCAAAGACGAUGUUGGAUUAGUCCUCCGAAGAUGUAAAUUAAAACCGCGGUGAGUGGGCUGGGUAUGAACAUGCUUUUAUUCCAGUACUUGAGAGACAAAGCCUGGUGGAUCUUUGAGUGCAAAGCCUGCCUGGUCUCUAUAGUCAGUUUCAGGCCAGCCAGGGGUACAUGGUUAAACCCUGUCUCAAAAUAAAACAAACAAACAAAAUAAAAUAAAGCCUCCGUAAGGGGUGAUAAAAAUGGCUCAGUGGCUAAAAGCAUGUCCUACCUCUUGCAAAGGACCCAAGUUUGAUUCCCGUGCCCAUAUCAGGUGGUUCACAACUCCCAGAGGUUCUGGUACCCUCUUCUGGCCUCCC